This 301-nucleotide unclassified non-coding RNA is filed under the name plant metagenome. Its description in RNAcentral is "partial contains small subunit ribosomal RNA, internal transcribed spacer 1, and 5.8S ribosomal RNA". The record is from RNAcentral.
UUUCCGUAGGUGAACCUGCGGAAGGAUCAUUAUUGAAACUUGAAUCGUAGCAUCGAGAACUGUUGCUGACCUGUUAAAAGGUAUGUGCACGUUCGACGUGUUGCGUUCUAUUCAUCCACCUGUGCACCUUUGUAGACUUGAUUAACUUUCGCUCUCGAGCGGUUAGAAGGGUUGCUCUCGAGCUCCCUUUGUCUAUCAAGUCUAUGUCUAUAUAAUCUCUUGUAUGUCUAGAAUGUCUUGUUUAUGGGACGCAAGUCCUUUAAAUCUUAUACAACUUUCAACAACGGAUCUCUUGGCUCUC